This 69-nucleotide transfer RNA is filed under the name Anolis carolinensis (green anole). It matches the Rfam family "tRNA". From Rfam's summary of the family: Transfer RNA (tRNA) molecules are approximately 80 nucleotides in length. Their secondary structure includes four short double-helical elements and three loops (D, anti-codon, and T loops). Further hydrogen bonds mediate the characteristic L-shaped molecular structure. tRNAs have two regions of fundamental functional importance: the anti-codon, which is responsible for specific mRNA codon recognition, and the 3' end, to which the tRNAs corresponding amino acid is attached (by aminoacyl-tRNA synthetases). tRNAs cope with the degeneracy of the genetic code in two manners: having more than one tRNA (with a specific anti-codon) for a particular amino acid; and 'wobble' base-pairing, i.e. permitting non-standard base-pairing at the 3rd anti-codon position. Lineage: Eukaryota; Metazoa; Chordata; Lepidosauria; Squamata; Anolidae. The record is from Rfam by way of RNAcentral.
AGUGUGAUGAGUGGUUUGAAUAUUGGACUUGGACUCCAGAAGACUGGGGUUUGAAUCCCCCUCACUCUU